GGAGAUGUAGCUCAAAAUCUAUUUCCACCGGUUUGAGCACUUGCAUCCUUCAAGGCGAGGCUAUCAGGGUUCGAAUCCCUGCAUCUCCA
Thalictrum thalictroides is the source of this 89-nucleotide non-coding RNA. Lineage: Eukaryota; Viridiplantae; Streptophyta; Magnoliopsida; Ranunculales; Ranunculaceae. The record is from the annotation of a GenBank genome assembly.